Molecule: ribosomal RNA, 553 nt
Filed under: Phomopsis sp. CM 1
Lineage: Eukaryota; Fungi; Ascomycota; Sordariomycetes; Diaporthales; Diaporthaceae
Description: eukaryotic LSU rRNA
Rfam family: 5.8S ribosomal RNA (bases 182-335)
Source: RNAcentral
AAANCNCUUUUGAAACGCCCCCCUGGCNCACCCAGAAACCCUUUGUGAACUUAUACCUUACUGUUGCCUCGGCGCAGGCCGUCCCCUAUGGGGUCCCUUGGAGACAAGGAGCAGCCGGCCGGUGGCCAAAUUAACUCUGUUUUUACACUGUAACUCUGAGUACAAAACAUAAAUGAAUCAAAACUUUCAACAACGGAUCUCUUGGUUCUGGCAUCGAUGAAGAACGCAGCGAAAUGCGAUAAGUAAUGUGAAUUGCAGAAUUCAGUGAAUCAUCGAAUCUUUGAACGCACAUUGCGCCCUCUGGUAUUCCGGAGGGCAUGCCUGUUCGAGCGUCAUUUCAACCCUCAAGCCUGGCUUGGUGUUGGGGCACUGCUGUAAAAGGGCAGGCCCUGAAAUACAGUGGCGAGCUCGCCAGGACUCCGAGCGUAGUAGUUAAACCCUCGCUUUGGAAGGCCUGGCGGUGCCCUGCCGUUAAACCCCAACUUUUGAAAAUUUGACCUCGGAUCANGUAGGAAUACCCGCUUAACUUAAGCAUAUCAAUAAGCCNGAGGGA